RNAcentral lists this ribosomal RNA (439 nucleotides) under uncultured bacterium. RNAcentral's name for it is "partial 16S ribosomal RNA". It matches the Rfam family "Bacterial small subunit ribosomal RNA", at positions 339 to 795 of the family's 1533-position model. The record is from RNAcentral.
CUACGGGUCGCACCAGUGAGGAAUAUUGCACAAUGGGGGGAACCCUGAUGCAGCAACGCCGCGUGGAGGAUGACGCAUUUCGGUGUGUAAACUCCUUUUAUAUGUCAAGAAAAUGACGGUAGCAUAUGAAUAAGCACCGGCUAACUCCGUGCCAGCAGCCGCGGUAAUACGGAGGGUGCAAGCGUUACUCGGAAUCACUGGGCGUAAAGGACGCGUAGGCGGGUUGGAAAGUCAGGUGUGAAAUCCUACAGCUUAACUGUAGAACUGCACUUGAAGCUUCUAAUCUAGAGGAUGGGAGGGGGAGAUGGAAUUAGUGGUGUAGGGGUAAAAUCCGUAGAUAUCACUAGGAAUACCUAAAGCGAAGGCGAUCUCCUGGAACAUUACUGACGCUAAGGCGUGAAAGCGUGGGGAGCAAACAGGAUUAGAUACCCUUGUAGUC